Non-coding RNA from Podarcis lilfordi (Lilford's wall lizard), 3583 nucleotides. The record is from the annotation of a GenBank genome assembly. Lineage: Eukaryota; Metazoa; Chordata; Lepidosauria; Squamata; Lacertidae.
AAUGUAUGAAAGCGUAGGCUCACAGCCAUAUUAAGCGGGGCCACGAAGCAAGGAAUGAUUGUCUCUUGAGAGGGUUUUCUACUGUCCAGAUAACAAUUGUGCAGAACCACCGAGCUUCACACAGCUCGCCAGCCCUGUGUGGGACUUCCAGGGCCCUCACCAAACUUUGCUGCUUGCCUGGGACUGCAAAAACAGGCAGUGGGAGAGGUUCUCAGGCAGCAGCGGGCCACAACCCUCACCCAGCCUGCCAGGUUACAAGGCGGAACACUUGCUUCCGUGGGUCUGAGCCACCUCUCUCCCCACACCCCUUCCCCACACCCCUUUUAAAUGUAUAUUAUAUAACUCUAUUUGUGGCUUACCUCAUAGGCAGUGUCUUAGGAAGCAUCGCUUCUCUGUUUGCUGCUUGUUGCACUUUAAAAACAAACAGAUAUUUCCUAUAACGUUGCACAGUCUUGACUUCGACUACCGUAGCUUUAAAUACUUGUUCCAGCAUCAAGAAGAGUAGCUUUAGAAUCGCCCUGAGGAGAUCCGGUUCACUCUCGCAGCGCCAGCGCCUGCUCCAGAUCCCGCAAGGGGGGGGGGUGUCCUUCUUGUCGCAAACCCCACUGUCCGAAAUGGGGAGGACAGUGUAGCUGGAGGGUGGCACUUAUUUUUGCUCCUGUCACCGGUUGUGCUCUUGGAGAGGGUCGGGAGAACAGCAGCAACACCGAGGAGGAGCAGAGCCCUGGAUCCCCCUCCUGGGAUAUGGGCCUCAGCCGGGGACUGUCAAUUCCAGCACUUGCCACCACACUCUGUUGUCCCCUCAGAAACACUUUUUGUUCUGGUGGGAGGGAAGUUCAGCAAUGCAGAAAUAAAUUGGUUUUUUUCAGGAUCGGGACUUGUGGGCAGAAUUCUUGGAGGAGCAAUAUUCAGGGUUGUGUCCAAUGUUUCACACCCAUUAUGGACAUAAAUUUCAGUGAGUCUGAGCAGAAUUUAGUGGCAUACAACCCUCAAGGUUUGCCCUCACUUGCUUAGCAACCAUCAAAAAUUGUUAUCAGAUAUAUCCACUGGAAGAACACAGGAUACCACCCCCCUCCUUCAAAGUAGUAAUGCAUACGUGCUUGGUAUUUAUAUAUGUUGGGGAAUAGAAUGCAAAAUAUGCCAAGGAAGAAAUUAUUCAGCUGCUUAUUGCUCUUAAUUUAUUCUGGAGCCUGUAUAAUCGCUGCUCUUAAUUUUAAUGCAUAGAUCUGUGCUCGGGUGUUAAUAACUCGCCCUGAACUACUCAUGUGUUGGUAGAGGUUUGCAAGGUUGCCUUACAGCUCUUCCCAUCCCCUGUCGCAUCUCAACCUCAUCGUCCUCACUGUUAACAUCUUAGAGAAAAUAAACUGGCAGGCAAGACUGCGUCUUUUAAUCUGGGACCUGCUGCAUGUUUAACUGGCUGAGAUUUCUAGCAUUGCUGUUGUUAACAACCAAGGUUCUAGUCCCUUGUGAUAGCAGAGAAACGUUUUUUAACACAGGCAAAUAUGGCAAAUGGUUUUGGAGAUUUAUUUAUUUUUUUAGUGCAAGGCCUGAAGUUGGUGAAGGGGUAGAAGCAUGUCUGAAGGCGUAUUCUCCUAAAUCAGUUUGUAACCAGUCGAGCUGUCAUGGCUCCUGGCCAGGAAACUCAGGGACUGGGGUUCUGUGGUGUGCAUCUUAACAAACAAUAUUCAGCCACCUCCUCACAUUGUGGCUUGAGUCAGUUUCAUUUGUGGGGUGGAAGCUUACGUAACUCAUUUAAAAGAAGUUGUAGAAAGUGAGUUCUGACGGAUAGCCAUGCCCUAUGCAACACAGAACUCUUUGCUGCGCAAAAUGUUAACACAGCUAAUUCUAACCUAUUGAAAGGUUCCUGAUAAAAGGGACCAGUAUGAUGUAGGAGUUAGUGGGUCAGAUUUGUAUUGGGGAGAAUCACUCUGAAAUCCCCACUCAAGAUCUGUGAUCUUUGCCUGAUGGCUUGCUCUCAGCCUUAGCUACUUUAUAGGGUGGUUGUGAGAAUAAAAAAGUAGGGAGGGACCAUAAUAUACACUAUCCGAAAAUAAGUAGAGGAAAGGUGGAAUUAACUAAUUAGGGGAGGGGCCCACUGCAUGUUCUGAAGGGAUGUGAUGCAGCAGCCAGCCUUGGGGUCACUACUUGGAAGGGAGAUCAGCUGGAGACUCCCACAUUUGAUGCCCCCUGACUGCAUGGUGCUGAUAACGCCAAGGUUGCAGGUUCGAUCCCCGUAUGGGACAGCUGCAUAUUCCUGCAUUUGCAGGGGGUUGGACUAGAUGAUCCUCAGGUUCCCUUCUAACUCUACAGUUCUAUGAUUCUUUGGAUGAAGGCGGGAUCUAAAUGAAAUGGGGGGGGACUGCAGGCCUAUAUCCACUUCAGUGGCGUAGCGUGGGUUGUCAGCACCCGGGGCAAGGCAAGUAAUUUGCGCCCCCUAACCCGUGGAUUUGCGCCCCCUAACCCGUGGAUUUGCGCCCCCUAACCCUAACCCCCAGAUGUUGCGGCUGGCCCCCCCUGCACCCCCACGCUACGCCACUGAUCCACUUACCCAGAAGCAAGGCCCGUUGGGGUUAAAUGGGGCUUACUUCUGUGUAAGUGUGUCUAAGAGUGUGUUAUAAAUGUGGCCAAAUGCACUUGCUGGAUAACAACACACUUGGCAAUCUUUGAGGGGAACACAAGAUCAUGGCAGCAACAAUGGAACAAGCAGGUGGUGCCCUAGCUGCUGCUGGAGUCCUCAUCUUUGCGAGCACAAAGCAUGAUGGGAACUGUAGUUUUUGGGACUCCAGCCCCCUGUGACAUGGGAAAUGGACUGACUUGCCUUUAAUAGACUGUCAGGGCACAAAGCUUGUAAGCUGCCGCCGAAAUUAUCUCUCUCCUUUUAAAAACGCCUCAAAAUAGCCAAUGGUUUCCCUAUAAACCAAGUUGCAAAUGUUAAUGCUUGAGCUCAGUGCGAGAGCUCUGUGUUGACCAGCAAAGCUUGCUUGUUCUCAACAGAUUUUUUUUUGGCUCGAGAUACAGGCCUGUCCUUUGACUAUUUGCUGUCUACAUCUUCAAGCUGCUACAAAAAAAGAUGUGUAGGCAGUUUAAUAGAAGAGGGGUGACGCAUUGCCCUGUCUUGUUGACCCUGCAGUUGCCCUCCCUCCUGGCCUCCUCUCCACAAAUCUAAACACUGCUGCAUAAAUGUAAGUGUAUUUUAAUAUCAUUUAGGCUGCAGUGUAGAAAUGGGGGUGGUGAUCUGGCCUGGGAACGAUGUUCAGCCUUGCCUGUGAGCCCCAUCAACCUUUUGUUUUUUUUUUGUGCAUCAGAUCUGUGACUGUGUCCAUUCCAAGCUCAUUGCACUUUUCCUCCUCCUCCUCCCUCCAAGGUCCCAUGUCCUGUGGGUGUUGCAGCCCUCAGCAUCUUUGACUGGAGAAAUGCAGCCUUGGUUUGGGUUGUUUAUAUGUCUGUCUGAAGUGCUGUACUGGUUAACCUUUAUGUCUGCAACUGCCUCCUGUGUGUUGCCUGUCAACGAGAUAAAUGUUUAAAAUGAAAUAAAUAAAAAUAAAACUCCAAAAAACUAUGCAAUAAAAGCAAUAGCAUGGAU